GCUUCCGGCCACACCUCCCUGAGCACACCCGAUCUCGUCUGAUCUCGGAAGCUAAGCAGGGUCGGGCCCGGUUAGUACUUGGAUGGGAGACCGCCUGGGAAUACCAGGUGCUGUAAGCC
Molecule: ribosomal RNA, 119 nt
Filed under: Esox lucius (northern pike)
Lineage: Eukaryota; Metazoa; Chordata; Actinopteri; Esociformes; Esocidae
Source: RNAcentral